AUUUUUCUCAAUGGGGGAAACCCUGAAGGAGCGACGCCGCGUGGAGGAUGAAGGUUUUCGGAUCGUAAACUCCUGUCAUUAGAGAACAAUGCAAUGAGGAAUAACUGCCUUAUUGUUGAUAGUAUCUGAAGAGGAAGGGACGGCUAACUCUGUGCCAGCAGCCGCGGUAAUACAGAGGUCCCAAGCGUUGUUCGGAUUCAUUGGGCGUAAAGGAUGCGUAGGCGGUAAGGUAAGUUGGAUGUGAAAUCCCGGGGCUCAACCUCGGAACUGCAUUCAAUACUGCUUUGCUAGAGUACUGGAGAGGAGAUUGGAAUUCACGGUGUAGCAGUGAAAUGCGUAGAUAUCGUGAGGAAGACCAGUGGCGAAGGCGAAUCUCUGGACAGUUACUGACGCUGAGGCAUGAAGGCCAGGGGAGCAAACGGG
RNAcentral lists this ribosomal RNA (423 nucleotides) under uncultured bacterium. RNAcentral describes it as "bacterial SSU rRNA". It matches the Rfam family "Bacterial small subunit ribosomal RNA", at positions 361 to 776 of the family's 1533-position model. The record is from RNAcentral.